RNAcentral lists this transfer RNA (51 nucleotides) under Argyroneta aquatica (water spider). RNAcentral describes it as "tRNA-Ala". The record is from RNAcentral. Lineage: Eukaryota; Metazoa; Arthropoda; Arachnida; Araneae; Dictynidae.
UAAUUUUAAGUAAGUUUAUGACUAAUUUGCAAUUAGUUUUUAUGGGAUUCA